GACGGGCCAGUCGAAGAGUGUUAGUGAGAUUUCGACUGGUGGGUGACCUUAGAUUAUGUGCACAGAUGAUUAAUGAGAAAGCACUAGAGCGUAACUUGUGUGCAGAAGGCCGGACGGGUCACAGAGGUGACUCCGGUAGAGUGAUAGUGAUAGAUUUUGAGCUCUAGGUUCAACCGUACAGGCUAUUAGAGGGCAUCCGGUUGAUUACUUUCUUGCACCUGAUAUGAUUAUUGUUGAUGCAUCCAUAUUUAACUGUUGAAUUAGACAUGGCAUGGCAUGAUUGAUAAAGAAAAAUGUUGAGAUAGUAAAAAUGAAGUUUUGAGAAUAUAUAUGUAUAUUUAUAUUUUACAUUCUGGGAAAGUAUACAGGUUUUACGGAGAGGGGUUACAACGUUUUGAGAAAUGUUUGGAUUUGGAAAAGAAUUGUUUUACUGACCCCACUCAAUUUUGGUUUUGCGCCCCUCCAGGUUCAGAAGGAAUCACAAAGGUGUGGUGACUACGAGGAAUUCGACGGUGUUCUGACAGAUUGGACAAAAUUAGGACUCACCUUCGGGGUGUAUCUUAACUUAAAAUUGUAUCUUAAAGCUUCCGUACUGUGGCAAAUGGUUACGUCACUCUCACGUGACGAGCAGCAUGCCCUCCUUCGGGACGGGGUGUGUUUGGUAUGGUUCAGAGCAUGGUUUGCAAUCUUUGGACAUUUUGAGAAGUUUUUUAGUGAAUUCACAGUUAGACGAUAGGGAAAAGUAUUUUAUUCCCUAUUUAGCGGUUUAGGGAAAACUAUUAAUGGUGAUUCAAUCUAUUAUAAAAAGGGACAUUUUGACGGAUUAUCCUCGAAUUUGAAUCACCUGAAAUUGAACCUGAAGGUUGUUUCAUUUGGAAAUUUAUUCAAAGGAAUCUUUUCUGACAAGGGGUCGAGACGUUUUUAAGGGUUUUUGUAUGAAAAAGGAGUGGUUGUCACAGGAAUUUUAAUUGUUUACCGGAGAAAACAGUAUUUGGUGAUGGUAGUAAGCAAAGAGUAGCUAGAUGGUUGAUUGGAUUUUGAGAAGUUUUCAGACUUGCCUGAGAAUCCAGAUAUUGUUGUUUUUGGUGGAGGUGUUAUUUGUUUUGAAGGGGUAUAAGGAAAGUGAAUGGGAAUUAAAAGAAAAGACGAUAAAGUUAAUGAUUCGUCAUAUCAAGGAUAUAUAGAAAGAUUCAGAGCUUCGAAAGAAGUGAAGCUAGAGUUAAUUCUUCCAGCUGAGGUUUUAAUGUCGCUGGUCAGAGUAAAAGUGAUGGAUAUACUGGUAAUCCCAGAUAUUUAAGACAAGGUGUCUCGAGUAAAGGAAAUGUACUUUGUGCAGCAGGUACAAAAUUAACACUUUGGGAAGUGUGAAAUUAAUGAAUGUGUUUAUGUGAACAGAGGGGACACAGAAUUGUGAAUCGUCCCUAGAAUCAGUUGUACCCAACAGUUUUCUAUGACAUCAUAGUGUUGAUUCAGCAGAGUUAUGGAUUUAGUAGUUUGGUCGGAUUGACCGUGAGUACAGAGAGAUUUGAUGAGUUAUAUGUUCAGCCGUACUGACCAUGAGAAGUGGAUUCGAUUGACACAUGAGAAAUUGGUGAGUUAUAGGCUCGGCCGUACCGACCACGCGGAGUGGAUCCGGCCGACGUAUUAUUGAGAUAAGAGUUGAAUCAGCCGUAUUGGUCAUUCUAGUUGACUUCGGCUGAUAUAUUUCUUAUUAUGAUUGUUAUUACCUAGAGAGUAGUAAAUAAAUGUAGUUGAGACGAGUGUAUGUAUUUUGCAUUGAGUGACAAAAUAGUAAUGUUAUAUCUUUGUGAGUGGUUGCCUACUUAUCGAGACAACGAUGAUUUAUCAGUAUUGCGGGCUGCAGACCGUAAUAUUAAUAACUCAUUCGUGGAUUCGUUAAGCAAGCAAACCGGUAGGUUAUUUUAUGUUAGUGUUGUACUUAUUCAGAAUGCUUAGUAGUAAUAGAGUAUGUAUUGUGUCGGUUAAAUUAUUUCCAUUAGAUUGGUUGGUUAUAAUUGUGACAAGACGGAAUGUUACGGGAAACCAGUACUUUCCAUCGAUCUGGAUGAUCAGAGAUUACCUUAAUGAGUGGGCAUGCAAAGUGAAGUGAGUUCAGCCAUUAUUUAUGCUGUGAAAGCAAAGAGAUUGUUUUGAAAGGCUGCCCAAGAAUAUUUAGUUCAUGUGGUACUAAAGGAUGUUGCUCGGAGAAGUGUGAAAAAAAAUAAAUAAAUAAAUAAAAAAUAAAAAAAAAAUGAAAAAGGGGUUAGACUUUUCUUGAUGUCUUCCCUGAAAGUAUACCUGGAUUGCCUUCAGGCAGAGAUAUGAGGUUCACUAUUGAAUUGUUGCCAGGUAUAAAUCUAUGUUAAAGAUUGGUUCAGGAUGAGUUAAGGGAAUUGGAAAUUCAGUUGAAAGAAUUGGUUGAUAAAAGUUUCAUUCAACCUAGUACAACACUUUUGAGGAGCACCAGUUUGUUGGUGAGAAAGAAAAUGGACUUAGAGAUUGUUCAUUGAUUAUAGACAAUGGAGUCGGGUAACGAUUGAGAACCGUUAUCCAUGGUGAUGUACUGAUGUUUAUUUAACCAGCUCAGAAGUAAUUGCGAAGAUUCAAAGAUUGAAUUGAGGUCUGGUUAUUACCAAUUAAAGAUUAUGAGCGACGUUGUUCUUAAGAUUGUUUUAUGAACUAUGGUGAUGCUAUGGAUACUCAUGCUGUUUUAUGAGUUAUUGGAUGAAGUAUUCCAAUAAUGCCUUGAUAAAUAGAUAUUAUUUUCAUUGAAGAUAUUCUGGCAUAUUCUGAGCCAGAGCAGAGCAUGUAAACGUAUUAAGUCGGUGGAACAAAGAUUGGAAGAAUGUCGAUUGUAUGCUAAGUUUAGCAAAUGCGAAUGUUAGAUGAAUCAAGUAGCAUUUCUGGGAUAUGUUAUAUAUUCUUAAGGUAUUCAAGUGAAUCCUUAAAAGAUAGCAGAAAUUGAGAAUUUGGAACAACCACGAGUCGUAAUUGAGAUUUGGAAUUUCUUAACUUACCAGGCUAUCUUGGAUGGUUGUGAAAGAUUUUUCAGUCAUUGCUUUGUCAUUGACGAGACUGUUGAGAAAUGAGGUUAUGUAUGAGUGGGAAGGAAAUUGUGAGCAAAGGAUUCAACAACUGAAGUAUUUCCUCACUCAUGCACGUAUUUUAGUAAUCCCAGAGAAUAGUGGUAAUCAUAAAUUUUUAGUGAUGUUUCUUGAAUGGUAUUGGAUGCAUGUUGAUGCAAAUGUUAGGGUGAUUGCAUACGUUUCACGACAAAUGGAAUCUCAUGAGAUGAAUUACCCUACUGGUGAUUUGGAAGUCACGAUUACCAUCCUUGCUGUGUGAAGUUAUGGAGACAUUAUAUUUUAGUGAGAAUGCAAGAUUUUACAAAUCAAAAGAGUCUCCAAUAUUUGUUUACUCAGAAGGAUUUUGAUAUGAGGCAACAAAGGUGGAUUGAAUUACUUAGUGAUUAUGAUUGUACGAUCAGGGUGAUCGUGAAUUGUUCUAGCUGAAGCACUUGGUGAGAAGACUACAGUAAGAUUAAUAUCUGGCACGUUUGCCAAGAGUAUCAUCUUGUGGAUUGAAAACCAACGGAAGAAAAAUUAAGAAUGGAAGAUCGAGAAGAAGUUAUACUUGUUAAGUAACAAGUUAGUACAUUUACUCCAGUGUUGAGUAACAACCUUUCCCAGACAGUGCAACAUUACUUAUUUGUUUUAUGGAAAAGAGAAUUGGUUUACGGAACUGCUGAGUUUCUUAAGUAUGUUGGUUGUGCAGUUUCCGAAGUAACGCCAUAAGGAUCAUGAAAUGUGUCAUGUGAGUCGGUUUUUGAUGACUUGUGAAUGGAAUGCUUCUGGGUAGAGAAAGAUUCGAUCAGAAGAAUUUUAGUGGGCCCGAAAUUUUGGAUGAGUCUCUUCUAAGAAUAUUCAGGUGAGUAAGUUAACCUGAAAGUAGCCAGGAAUGGCAAAAGAGAUCAACAGAUAGUUAUGCCACUAAUCGAGUAUAUAAGGUAAAUGGUUUUAUAUUUUCGAAGUGUUCACCAUAGAAAAGUAUAAUUCGGGUUGGAAAGGAAGGCAAGUUAAAUCCUAAAUGAAUCGGACUUAGCGUGAUCAUCGAAAGGUUGGUGAAGUUGAUUAUAGAAUUGAAUGGCCUCCAGAGUUGUCUAAGGUACAUAAUGUGUUCCAUGUCUCGAUGCUUCGGCAUUAUGUGUCAGAUCCUUCACAUGUGAUUCCUCCUCAACCAUUGGAAAUUAAUCCGGAUUUGACGUAUGAUGAGGAACCAGUGACUAUACUGGAUUGGAAAGAUAAGACUUUGAGGAAUAAGACCGUAAGCUUGGUAAAAGUAUUGUGGAGAAAUCAUUCAGCUGAAGAAGCUACUUGGGAGACAGAAGAAAUGAUGAGAGAUAUGUAUCCGAGACUAUUUUAUGAGUUUUGAUGUUAUGGUUGGUGACUGGAAUUUCGGGGACGAAAUUCUAUAAGGAGGGGAGAUUGUCACAGCCCGUCCCGAAAUUUUAAUUCCGAUGACGUGAAAUUACAGAAACGCCCUUAAACGGGAUUAAGGUGCGUAAAUUUGGUAUUUGUUUUACCUAAAAACAUCCUAAACUAGGGUUAGAUUUAUUAUUGUAUGUGUUAAUAUUUUGUAUUUGGACUUUAGGUAGGGUCCUACCCCCUAAAUCCCUCCCCAUUUCCCGUGUUCUUGUCUUUCACACUCCCUCUUUCUUCCUCAGCUCUCCCUCAGAAACACUCUCUCUCUCUUACUCUCGAACUCACUUGAACUCACGGCAAACACCAAGCAUAACCACAAUCCUACACCAACGUCCAAUCUAAGAUCACCAUCGUGAUCUUGGGAACUUCACGAGCACGGGGGUAUAAGUUUCAGGUGAGUUUCACUUCGAGAAACCCUAGUUUUUAAAGCACCGUGAUUAUGUACUGUUCAUGAACUUUGAUUUGGUUGUGUUUUAGGCCAAACUAAGAUCACCACGAGUCUUAGGAAGUCCCGAGGAGGCUCGGAGUGCCUCGUUUGAACAAAAUGGAUGUCGGGAUCACUGGUUUCGAGGUUGGCCGAGUUUUGUGAAAUUUGGAAAGGUAUGAUCUCAUUGUUUUUAGACCUUAAAACCAUUCCAACGUGAUAGUAGGUGUUUAGGGCUUCAUUUUGGUAUAAAGUACGAAAAAAAUGGACGAAAAACGAGUGAGAAUAGUUAAAUAGAAAUUUUUCCCAGUUUUCCGGUGACCGGAGUCCGGCGAGAGUCCAUCGGAGAAGAAGCAGGAAUAUUCCGUUAGUUCUAACGGAAUAUUCCUGACGCCGUUAACGGAACGGUUAGGUUUUAACGGAAUAUUCCUGACGGCGUCAAUUGACACCGUCAGUGUGCUUGGCACGUGGCCGCGCGUGGGGGCGCGUAGGUCCGUGCCACGUCAGGCGCGUGGGGGCGCGUAAGGACUCCAAAAAUUAUUUUAAAAAUAUGGGGAUGAUCCUGAGGUUGUGUAGGUCACUGUGGUAUAUUCAUAUACCCAAUUUGAGCAAUAUAUAAGGAGUUAUUAACUAAGAUUUGGGUUAGGCGUUAAAUAACGUCAAAAUGGUUACUUUUGUUUAGGUGAGGUUUAUGCGGGCAUCGGGCAUGGCCAAGGGAUUCUCAGGGACUUACGAGACGUCGAUGUAAUCUGUGAGUGGGCAGUUUUGUUUUCCGUAUAUAUAUAUACUUGACGCUUUCCCAGAAAUUGAAUUAGAAUGAAAUUAUGUUUUAAAUGAAAGGUAUAUAGAAUGAUAUGAAAACGUGAAUUGAAAGAUCAUGCAUAGAAGUAUAUGAAAUAUAUAUGGAAAUGUAAAUUGAAUUGUCAUGCAUGAAAUGAUAUGAAAAGUAUGAUUUGAGAUAUAUGAUGCAUAUGAAUGAAUGUUGCGGCGGACGCACAGGUGAGUAUCAGGUGAGUAUUUAAUUACUGUUAUGAUGAUGUUGAUGUAUAUUGAGCUCAAAUCCUGCACCUUGGUUUAGUGCUUAUAGUAUUCACCGCAUCGCACGCUCGCCUUGGAUCCAAGUAGAUGCUGGUCGCACAGUCCACGCGGAGUGGGUGCGACGGGCCAGUCGAAGAGUGUUAGUGAGAUUUCGACUGGUGGGUGACCUUAGAUUAUGUGCACAGAUGAUUAAUGAGAAAGCACUAGAGCGUAACUUGUGUGCAGAAGGCCGGACGGGUCACAGAGGUGACUCCGGUAGAGUGAUAGUGAUAGAUUUUGAGCUCUAGGUUCAACCGUACAGGCUAUUAGAGGGCCUCCGGUUGAUUACUUUCUUGCACCUGAUAUGAUUAUUGUUGAUGCAUCCAUAUUUAACUGUUGAAUUAGACAUGGCAUGGCAUGAUUGAUAAAGAAAAAUGUUGAGAUAGUAAAAAUGAAGUUUUGAGAAUAUAUAUGUAUAUUUAUAUUUUACAUUCUGGGAAAGUAUACAGGUUUUACGGAGAGGGGUUACAACGUUUUGAGAAAUGUUUGGAUUUGGAAAAGAAUUGUUUUACUGACCCACUCAAUUUUGGUUUUGCGCCCCUCCAGGUUCAGGAAUCACAAAGGUGUGGUGACUACGAGGAAUUCGACGGUGUUCUGACAGAUUGGACAAAAUUAGG
This 6599-nucleotide long non-coding RNA is filed under the name Malus domestica (apple). RNAcentral describes it as "long non-coding RNA (MDOM_LNC011025)". Lineage: Eukaryota; Viridiplantae; Streptophyta; Magnoliopsida; Rosales; Rosaceae. The record is from RNAcentral.